This 250-nucleotide ribosomal RNA is filed under the name uncultured bacterium. Its description in RNAcentral is "partial 16S ribosomal RNA". It matches the Rfam family "Bacterial small subunit ribosomal RNA", at positions 29 to 269 of the family's 1533-position model. The record is from RNAcentral.
AACGAACGCUGGCGGCGCGCCUAAUACAUGCAAGUCGAGCGAGAAGACGUAGCAAUACGUUUGUAAAGCGGCGAACGGGUGAGGAAUGCAUGGGUAACCUACCCUCGAGUGUGGAAUAACCAGCCGAAAGGUUGGCUAAUACCGCAUACGAUUCCCGGACUUCGGUUUGGGAGGGAAAGCGAUACCGUGGGUAUCGCGCUCUUGGAUGGGCUCAUGUCCUAUCAGCUUGUUGGUGAGGUAAUGGCUCACC